RNAcentral lists this ribosomal RNA (231 nucleotides) under uncultured bacterium. Its description in RNAcentral is "partial 16S ribosomal RNA". It matches the Rfam family "Bacterial small subunit ribosomal RNA", at positions 99 to 334 of the family's 1533-position model. The record is from RNAcentral.
CGGACGGGUGAGUAAUGUCUGGGAGACUGCCCGAUGGAGGGGGAUAACUACUGGAAACGGUGGCUAAUACCGCAUAACGUCGCAAGACCAAGAGGGGGACCUUCGGGCCUCUUGCCAUCGGAUGUGCCCAGAUGGGAUUAGCUAGUAGGUGGGGUAACGGCUCACCUAGGCGACGAUCCCUAGCUGGUCUGAGAGGAUGACCAGCCACACUGGAACUGAGACACGGUCCAG